CGCGUAGGUGGUUGUGUAAGUCGGAUGUGAAAUCCCCAGGCUCAACUUGGGAACCGCAUCCGAUACUGCAUGACUCGAGUACAGCAGAGGGAAACGGAAUUCCUGGUGUAGAGGUGAAAUUCGUAGAUAUCAGGAGGAACACCGGUGGCGAAGGCGGUUUCCUGGGCUGGUACUGACACUGAGGCGCGAAAGCGUGGGUAGCAAACAGGAUUAGAUACCCUGGUAGUCCACGCUGUAAACGGUGAGUGCUGGGUGUGGGAGGUGUAAUGCCUUCUGUGCCGAAGCUAACGCGUUAAGCACUCCGCCUGGGGAGUACGGCCGCAAGGUUGAA
Molecule: ribosomal RNA, 331 nt
Filed under: uncultured bacterium
Lineage: Bacteria
Description: bacterial SSU rRNA
Rfam family: Bacterial small subunit ribosomal RNA
Source: RNAcentral